RNAcentral lists this long non-coding RNA (635 nucleotides) under Gossypium raimondii (Peruvian cotton). Its description in RNAcentral is "long non-coding RNA (GRAI_LNC006642)". The record is from RNAcentral. Lineage: Eukaryota; Viridiplantae; Streptophyta; Magnoliopsida; Malvales; Malvaceae.
GGUUCGACCCUCUUGGUUGGGGAACUGGCUCCCCUGAGAAGAUCAAGGAAUUGAGGACUAAAGAGAUCAAGAAUGGUCGAUUGGCUAUGUUGGCGGUAAUGGGUGCUUGGUUCCAACACAUCUAUACUGGCACUGGACCCAUUGACAACCUUUUCGACCACCUCGCCGAUCCUGGUCACGCCACCAUUUUUGCUGUAAGUUCAUCCCCUCAAAAACCAAUUCCAUUUGUAGUGUUUAGUUUCAGUUUGGAUAGAUUAUUCAAUUUGAAUCGGUUUUGGUUGAAUUAUUAUUCAAGUAUAUUCUAUUUGGUUAUGUUUUUGAUUCAGAGGUUAAAGCUUUAGGAGUUAAAAUUUUAAUGCCAUAUAUAGAUGCUGUCAAAAAACACCUUUACUUUGAAUCAAAUUUGUUGUCUUCCUAAGGGUCGGACUAACUGGUGUUGGUUGUCCAUGUCAGGCUUUCACUCCCAAGUGAGACAGAAUUAAGAGACAACCUUUAAGAGCGAUUAAAAUGUUGGGAUGACAAUGAUGAUCAUACCAUUCCAUACGUUGGAAGAAGAGCGGAAGACUUGUAAUGUUGUGGGGGAAUGUUUGUAUUAGUAGAAACUGUAAUGCCUCUGUUUGUAUUGUAGAUGUUAU